RNAcentral lists this transfer RNA (72 nucleotides) under Heterocephalus glaber (naked mole-rat). It matches the Rfam family "tRNA". From Rfam's summary of the family: Transfer RNA (tRNA) molecules are approximately 80 nucleotides in length. Lineage: Eukaryota; Metazoa; Chordata; Mammalia; Rodentia; Bathyergidae. The record is from Rfam by way of RNAcentral.
UGGGGUGUACCUCAGUGGCAGAGUGCUUGCCUAGCAUAUACAAGUCCCUGGGUUCUAUCCCCAGCACUGCAA